Molecule: long non-coding RNA, 2644 nt
Organism: Ictalurus punctatus (channel catfish)
Lineage: Eukaryota; Metazoa; Chordata; Actinopteri; Siluriformes; Ictaluridae
Source: Ensembl
UAUAUAUCAGCGAGUGUUAAAAAUCUAAAAAACAAACAAAGCAAUGAGGACUUUACAAUAAUCAAUAACAAACCGAUUUUUGCAGUUGCAACUUUCCUCUACACCUCUAUGUAUAUCUGUUUUCACUAUGUUUCAUAACUUUCUUUUAAUUGUCGGCUUUUUUUUCCUUAUUUGCGUAUUUAUUUCUUUAUAUAGCACCUCUCUAACACCCGAGAUCGAUUUAUUAAGUACAUAACACAAAGUAUCAUCAUUAACAACAUAAUUUGAUAAUUUAAUAAUUUGAUCGUAGUUGCUGUUUAUAAAUCAUCCAUGUGUGUAUAUCUAGCAUACUGCACGUUAUGCAACCAAUCGUUGUUUUUUUUUUUUCUCCUCUUCCGCACAAACUACGCAGUAACUGUAGCAGCCCUGUGGCGCUUAGCUCGUGCAGCUCGUGUCGCGCGGAUAUGACGUAGGCGCCACACCACAUUGCCGCGAAAUAUCAAAACGCGCGUGACACAAUCGAGCUAACGGGUUUAUACAAAAUGGCUGUUCAGUGAGGCGUGGUUUAGCUUAAGCUGUUUUUAUUUUUCUUCUCUUGUUAGUCAGGUCAGCUAGCUCACGGUUUAGCCUGUUUACAGUUUCGGUUUGAGGUCAUUUUUGUUUAUUUAUUUUUUUUCUAAGAAGAAAAUGAUAAAAGGUCGGGUUAAAGGCGGGGACGAGGAGCUGCUGGUUCUUCCAGAGAAGCUGGAGAAGAGGCUGCUGCUAUUUCAGCGCGACGGAGUCAAAUUCGCUCUUUCCAGAGCUGGAAGAGCGGAAGCACUUUCUUUACGCUCAAAGGGACAAAGUCUCAUAGUGGACAUGCCGUGAGCAGGCAGGAUGGUGAAGCAAGGCCUCAUCCUCGAUUUUAUCAUCUAUCUAUCACGGGUACCAUAACACUUACAUGCUGAAUGACUUAACAUGAUCUAAAUGGAAUAUAUAUAUAUAUAUAUAAAUAAUAUAUCAGCACAAAUAAAGAACGUGUUGGAGAAAAAGGACGUGCGGAGACGCUCAGUUUGUCACAUCUAGAACCAAGAAUCCGCAGCAGAAUUUUCUUCUUGGUUGGCUCAGAUGGCCAGAGCGAUGACAUGCCUUCCAUUUUGUCGUAUAAAUAAACAGAACAUCCAUGGUCUAAACGACAGAAUACUCGAGACGAGACGUACGCUUGCCUACGACCGAACAGCAUGAACUUCCCUGCUGAUCGCGAGCCGAAACACAAAGCCGCGAGUGCUGCGGGACUCCAGAUUAGCAUACGCCGUGCUGACACAAUUACGGCGCUUAAUGAGCCCUGAACGCCGCGCGCCGCAUUAACCUGCCACCGCAGCACUUCCUGCCCCUCCGCCACGUUCCAGCAGCAAAAUAUGCGUCUGUCUUCAUAUCCAGCAUGCACGCAAGGGCCGAUCGAUACUUAUCGACCUGUACGACGGGUCUACAGGGGCAGACGGUCAAUACGAGCGUUUCUAAUCAUGUUGUAACCGUGGUAGGAACGCACAAGAAAGGAAAGCUAGAGAGAUUAGUUAAGAUCAAGGCUAAUUGUAGAACAAAGGCUGGAGAUGAGACCGUUUGAAAGGGCUGUGAGUGUUGCCUUGAAAGAAUUUGGGACGUUUGUAGUCAAUCAUGGAUUAUACUAUAGACUAGGGACGCAUUGGGUUUCAGUAGUGGUAUCGGGCACCUCUUCAUCCGGGUCAGGGUUGUGCAGAGUGUGAGGCAGGAGUAUACACCCAUGAGAUGGUUGUGUGCAUGGUCCAUCGCAUGGCGAAUUCUUACAAGUACAUUCAAAUAAAUGAAAAAAUGGUACUGAGAGCCCCCCCCCCCCAUCCGAUUAAUCAAAAAAAAAUCUGCAGCCCUAAGACUGGUCCGUUACAAAAUGCUGAUCAUCUCCAGAAGCCGUUCCUUUGUUGGCUUGAAUUUGUGCUUUGGGGCGUUAUGACCUUUUCUCCUUCAUCUUGAGCUGUCUAACGCAGGCCUGCAGGUACAGUAGUGUGCCAGAAUAGAUAGGAAUUCUGAGAUAUCCAUGAUUUCCUCUAUCAUGACUAAAUCCCCAGUCCCAGCUGAAGAGAUGCAGCCCCACAGCAUGACGCCUCCUCCACCAUGCUUCACUGCGAGUAUGGUGUUCUUCAGGUGAUAAGAUGUCGUCUCGUUUCUGCAUCAAACAUAUCUUUUAGAAUCCUGCCCCAAAAGUUCUACCCUAGUCUCAUCAGAUAACACAUUAUUUUGCUCGCCAAACUAGAGACAACAGAUCGUCACGUGCAGGGAGUGAACUGUAGCGGUCGUAUCCCUGCAGCUCUCGCAGGUCUCUCGGCAGCCUCCCUGAUAACUCUCGCACUUUCGUCGGGUUUGGACGGACAUCCUGUUCUUUAAAUAAGAUCUUUGUAGACCAUGGCUUCAGCAGAUGGAUGAAACCAAGAUGAAAAAGCACCAUGCGUAAGAUCCUGUAGAGAUUCUGAGGUGUUUUUAGUUGUGUAUUGACAUUUAGAAGGGUGGGGGUGGGGGUGGGGGGCCCUGAAAAAGCUAUUCUUAAUGAUUUGUGUUUACAUUUUAAACAAUCUCAUUUAGGAUUAGUAGAUCUAGUCUGAAAUGAACUCGUAUGUUUACGUAUUAUAUUUAACCGUACCGGCGCUUUAAUAAC